CACAAGGGGUGAAGCCUGCGGUUCAAUUGGAGUCAACGCCUGAAACCUUACCCGGAGAGACAGCAGAAUGAAGGUCAAGCUGAAGACUUUACCAGACAAGCUGAGAGGUGGUGCAUGGCCGUCGCCAGCUCGUGCCGUGAGAUGUCCUGUUAAGUCAGGUAACGAGCGAGAUCCCUGCCUCUAGUUGCCACUAUUACACCCUGGUGUAGUAGGGCGAAUUAGGGGGACCGCCGCAGUUAAUGCGGAGGAAGGAAGGGGCCACGGCAGGUCAGUAUGCCCCGAAACUCUGGGGCCACACGCGGGCUGCAAUGGUAACGACAAUGAGUUCCAAAAUCGAAAGAUGGAGGUAAUCCCUAAACGUUACCACAGUUGUGAUUGAGGGCCGCAACUCGCCCUCAUGAACAUGGAAUCCCUAGUAACCGCGUGUCAUUAUCGCGCAGUGAAUACGUCCCUGCUCCUUGCACACACCGCCCGUCGUUUCAUUGAAGUUUGCCUUUAGCGAGGUGAUGUCUAAUUGGCAUUAUCGAACUUGGGGUAAGUGACAAGGGAAAAGUCGUAACAAGGUGACCGUAGGGGAACCUGCGGUCGGAUCACCUCCUU
Molecule: ribosomal RNA, 600 nt
Filed under: uncultured marine crenarchaeote
Lineage: Archaea; Thermoproteati; Thermoproteota
Description: bacterial SSU rRNA
Rfam family: Archaeal small subunit ribosomal RNA
Source: RNAcentral